RNAcentral lists this transfer RNA (77 nucleotides) under Candidatus Cloacimonadota bacterium. RNAcentral's name for it is "Candidatus Cloacimonetes bacterium tRNA-Met". It matches the Rfam family "tRNA". From Rfam's summary of the family: Transfer RNA (tRNA) molecules are approximately 80 nucleotides in length. Their secondary structure includes four short double-helical elements and three loops (D, anti-codon, and T loops). Further hydrogen bonds mediate the characteristic L-shaped molecular structure. tRNAs have two regions of fundamental functional importance: the anti-codon, which is responsible for specific mRNA codon recognition, and the 3' end, to which the tRNAs corresponding amino acid is attached (by aminoacyl-tRNA synthetases). tRNAs cope with the degeneracy of the genetic code in two manners: having more than one tRNA (with a specific anti-codon) for a particular amino acid; and 'wobble' base-pairing, i.e. permitting non-standard base-pairing at the 3rd anti-codon position. Lineage: Bacteria; Pseudomonadati; Candidatus Cloacimonadota. The record is from RNAcentral. RNAcentral also lists the same sequence under 1 other name.
CGCGGGGUAGAGCAGUCUGGUAGCUCGUUGGGCUCAUAACCCAAAGGACGGAGGUUCAAAUCCUUCCCCCGCUACCA